This 467-nucleotide ribosomal RNA is filed under the name uncultured bacterium. RNAcentral's name for it is "partial 16S ribosomal RNA". It matches the Rfam family "Bacterial small subunit ribosomal RNA", at positions 28 to 507 of the family's 1533-position model. The record is from RNAcentral.
GACGCACGCUGGCGGCGUGCUUAACACAUGCAAGUCGAACUGAAAGGCCCUGCUCUUGUGGGGUGCUCGAGUGGCGAACGAGUGAGUAACCCGUGAGUAACCUGCCCUUGACUUUGGGAUACUUCAAGCAACUAGGGCGAAUACCGGAUAGGAUCUCCUACCGCAUGGUGGGGGCUGGAAAGUUUCGGCGGCUGGGGAUUCAGUCGCGGCUUAUCAGCUUGUUGGUGGGGUAGUGGCUUACCAAGGCUUUGACUGGUAGCCGGCCUGGGGGGGUGACCGGCCACAUUGGGACUGAGAUACGGCCGAGACUCCUACGGGAGGCAGCAGUGGGGAAUAUUGCACAAUGGGCGGAAGCCUGAUGCAGCAACGCCGCGUGCGGGAUGACGGCCUUCGGGUUGUAAACCGCUUUCGCCUGUGACGAAGCGUGAGUGACGGUAAUGGGUAAAGAAGCACCGGCUAACUACGUG